UACGUAGGGUCCGAGCGUUGUCCGGAUUUAUUGGGCGUAAAGAGCUCGUAGGCGGCUUGCUAAGUCAGGUGUGAAACCUCCAGGCUCAACCUGGAGCCGCCACCUGAUACUGGUAUGGCUAGAGUCCGGUAGGGGACCACGGAAUUCCUGGUGUAGCGGUGAAAUGCGCAGAUAUCAGGAAAAACACCAAUGGCGAAAGCAGCUCUCUGGGACGGUACUGACGCUGAGACGCGAAAGCGUGGGGAGCGAACAGG
RNAcentral lists this ribosomal RNA (254 nucleotides) under uncultured bacterium. RNAcentral describes it as "partial 16S ribosomal RNA". It matches the Rfam family "Bacterial small subunit ribosomal RNA", at positions 524 to 776 of the family's 1533-position model. The record is from RNAcentral.